GUAAAGCAUGAGCAGCCCUUGGGUCUAGGAGGUGUCACCCAAGGAGCCUCGAUCGUGACAGAGUUCAUGGCAUAGUCCCCUUAUACGCCAAUGGAACUGUGGGACCUGUGUAAGCAGUGCAGGCAACAGCCGGGUGAGCCCAUACUGGCCUGGCUCCUGUGGCUAUGGGAUGAGGGGGCGGAUAGUAUAAUCUGUACUUCUGAUGAGAUGGAGAAGCUGGCCUCCAUCAUGUUGCCCCCCUCCCUUUGGCAGUGGUUCCAGAAUAGCUGCCAGCUAGGCCAAGGGCAGGGAAAUCACUCCAUGAUGGAGUGGGUGACAGCUGCCGCCCGGACUGUGUGGGAUAACGCCGGGGAGCUCCUGGAGACUGUGAGCCAAUGGCAGACCUAUGCGGAACUGGUGCAAGUCAUCCAUCUACAGCAGGCUCCUGAUUCCCUGUGGAAGCAUCUGGCAACGUGGCUGGGCAGCCAAUGAUGCCAAAGUCCGGGGACCUGGCUUAUCUGUCAAAUUCUUGGGGGCUGUCUGGUCAGGCUCAGCAAUGGUUGUCCAGAAACCGCCCCAUGUGUGGGCAGGCCAUGUGGCAGGAACUGUGGGCCUUGGCCCAUGGAAAAGAGGUGACAGUGUAUCAUGUUCCUGGCCAUAUGCCUCUGACUGCUCCUGGGAAUGAUGAGGCUGAUGAUCUGGCCCGUGUGUGGUGGCUGGAAAGGGCCCCAUCUGCAGAUGUGGCACACUGGCUACAUUGACGCCUAAAUCAUGCAGGGAGCAAGACCGUGGGAACAGUGAGUAAGCACUGGGGGGUACCCCUCACGUGGCAACAAAUAAUGACAACAUGUAAAGAAUGUGCUGUAUGUGCCCAGGCCUUUCCUAAUAGAAGGAAACCAGUGUCCACACAGCAGCAAGUAGCUGGAGGGCGUGUGCCCUUGGUCUGAUGGCAGGUGGACUACAUUGGACCAUUACCAAAGACCAAACGCACUGUGUACGCCUCUACGGCUGUCGAUAAGGCCACCGGUUCCCUCUUUGCAUGGCCCUGUGCAGCCACAGAUCAGAGGCAGACACUUCAGGCCCUGCAGGUACUCUGUGCCUUUUAUGGUCGACCCUUGGUCGAGGAGAGAGACAAGGGGACACAUUUUACAGGACAAGAAGUCCAACGGUGGGCCAGCACCAUGGAUGUUCAAUGGCUUUUCCAUUCUCCUUUUAACCCGGCUGCUGCCGGGAGGAUGGGAAGGUACAAGGGGCUUUUAAAGCAGGGCUCACACACAGCCACGCAGCCUUCCUCCCUGGGAGGCUGGGCAAC
This 1291-nucleotide long non-coding RNA is filed under the name Equus caballus (horse). Its description in RNAcentral is "lncRNA (ENSECAG00000058745.1)". The record is from RNAcentral. Lineage: Eukaryota; Metazoa; Chordata; Mammalia; Perissodactyla; Equidae.